UACGAAGGGGGCUAGCGUUGUUCGGAAUUACUGGGCGUAAAGCGCGCGCAGGCGGCUAUCCAAGUCAGUGGUGAAAGCCCGGAGCUCAACUCCGGAACUGCCAUUGAAACUGUUUAGCUUGAGGAUGAGAGAGGUGAGUGGAAUUCCCAGUGUAGAGGUGAAAUUCGUAGAUAUUGGGAAGAACACCGGUGGCGAAGGCGGCUCACUGGCUCAUUACUGACGCUCAGGCGCGAUAGCGUGGGGAUCAAACGGG
RNAcentral lists this ribosomal RNA (253 nucleotides) under uncultured bacterium. RNAcentral describes it as "partial 16S ribosomal RNA". It matches the Rfam family "Bacterial small subunit ribosomal RNA", at positions 524 to 776 of the family's 1533-position model. The record is from RNAcentral.